This 252-nucleotide ribosomal RNA is filed under the name uncultured bacterium. RNAcentral describes it as "partial 16S ribosomal RNA". It matches the Rfam family "Bacterial small subunit ribosomal RNA", at positions 524 to 776 of the family's 1533-position model. The record is from RNAcentral.
UACGGGGGGGGCAAGCGUUGUUCGGAAUUAUUGGGCGUAAAGGGUGCGUAGGCGGUCCUACAAGUCAGAGGUGAAAGGCUACGGCUCAACCGUAGUAAGCCUUUGAAACUGUAGGACUUGAGUGCAGGAGAGGAGAGUGGAAUUCCCAGUGUAGCGGUGAAAUGCGUAGAUAUUGGGAGGAACACCAGUUGCGAAGGCGGCUCUCUGGACUGUAACUGACGCUGAGGCACGAAAGCGUGGGGAGCGAACAGG